AGAGAUUUAGGAUAGCUAGACCAAAGACCUUCAAAGCCUUAAGCGGGAGUGAAACCCUCCCAAUCUCUG
This 69-nucleotide transfer RNA is filed under the name Gymnothorax berndti (Y-patterned moray). RNAcentral describes it as "tRNA-Trp". It matches the Rfam family "tRNA". From Rfam's summary of the family: Transfer RNA (tRNA) molecules are approximately 80 nucleotides in length. Their secondary structure includes four short double-helical elements and three loops (D, anti-codon, and T loops). The record is from RNAcentral. Lineage: Eukaryota; Metazoa; Chordata; Actinopteri; Anguilliformes; Muraenidae.